This 780-nucleotide ribosomal RNA is filed under the name Pseudomonas sp. A2b-3. RNAcentral describes it as "bacterial SSU rRNA". It matches the Rfam family "Bacterial small subunit ribosomal RNA", at positions 97 to 873 of the family's 1533-position model. The record is from RNAcentral. Lineage: Bacteria; Pseudomonadati; Pseudomonadota; Gammaproteobacteria; Pseudomonadales; Pseudomonadaceae.
GGCGGACGGGUGAGUAAUGCCUAGGAAUCUGCCUGGUGGUGGGGGAUAACGUUCGGAAACGGACGCUAAUACCGCAUACGUCCUACGGGAGAAAGCGGGGGACCUUCGGGCCUCGCGCCAUCAGAUGAGCCUAGGUCGGAUUAGCUAGUUGGUGAGGUAACGGCUCACCAAGGCGACGAUCCGUAACUGGUCUGAGAGGAUGAUCAGUCACACUGGAACUGAGACACGGUCCAGACUCCUACGGGAGGCAGCAGUGGGGAAUAUUGGACAAUGGGCGCAAGCCUGAUCCAGCCAUGCCGCGUGUGUGAAGAAGGUCUUCGGAUUGUAAAGCACUUUAAGUUGGGAGGAAGGGCAGUAAGCGAAUACCUUGCUGUUUUGACGUUACCGACAGAAUAAGCACCGGCUAACUCUGUGCCAGCAGCCGCGGUAAUACAGAGGGUGCAAGCGUUAAUCGGAAUUACUGGGCGUAAAGCGCGCGUAGGUGGUUGGUUAAGUUGGAUGUGAAAGCCCCGGGCUCAACCUGGGAACUGCAUCCAAAACUGGCCGGCUAGAGUACGGUAGAGGGUGGUGGAAUUUCCUGUGUAGCGGUGAAAUGCGUAGAUAUAGGAAGGAACACCAGUGGCGAAGGCGACCACCUGGACUGAUACUGACACUGAGGUGCGAAAGCGUGGGGAGCAGACAGGAUUAGAUACCCUGGUAGUCCACGCCGUAAACGAUGUCAACUACCCGUUGGGUUCCUUGAGGACUUAGUGGCGCAGCUAACGCAUUAAGUUGACCGCC